UGGUGGGGAGCUGUGAUGUGAAGUUCCCUAUAAGGUUAGAAGGCCUUGUGCUUACCCACCAACAGUUCAGUAGUUAUGAGCCAGAGUUGUUUCCUGGUUUAAUCUACAGAAUGAUCAAACCGAGAAUUGUUCUCCUUAUUUUUGUCUCUGGAAAAGUUGUAUUAACAGGUAAGUUGUAAUAGGAAAUAGUGUCUAACCCUAAGUUUUGAAAGGUUCAAGAAUGGCAUUUUCUCAGUGCUAAGAAGUAAUAUUACAGUGUUGGGACAGUUGGCUACUGACCUGUAUAGAAGCUUUGCCCCUUUAUUCCCUCCCCCGACCCUAACACUCUGGGAAACAUACCCACAGAAUGGGCAGCUGAGGGAAGUCAGACCACAGUCCUGUGGCUCCUUCAGCUGAAGCAUGACCUUGGUGGGGAGGGGAGAAGUGAGCAUGACAGAUGGCGUUUUAAGUUGUCUAAAAUUUUGGAGGUUCAUCAGCAUUAUCAUUUCAAGGCAGCAAAGGAUGAUGCUUCAGAAGAGCUUGGUCAUAGGCAACAAUGGGGAGAGUAAGAGUCAGCUACUCGCUGCUGCCAUGCUGGCUUCUGACCUGGUGCAGGGCCAGCACUGGUCACAUGGGCAGACUGUAGGGAAGGUAGCUGGAGUCACCUGGGAUGCUGCUCUCGUAAUUGUUUUUAAAAGCCAGUGUAAGAAAAGGCCACUUCCAUCGUACGUUUUACCGCCUUCAUCUGUCAGCCUUACUGGGUAUGGAGAGAAUCGUGCUUGUGGUUUUGUGAAGAAAUGCCAUUUCAGACUCUGUCCUCUACUCCAACUUGUCUACAUAGGUGCUAAAGUCAGAGCAGAAAUUUACGAAGCGUUUGAGAACAUCUACCCUAUCCUAAAGGGUUUCAGGAAGACGACGUAAUGGCCGUCAUGUACUCCUGCCUCCCCCACCACUUGUUUUUUUUAGAAGAAAUCAGUUUUUGGUACAUUUAAUGGUGGUGUUGUGGACGGCCCUGUGUGGUGCAAGGAUGGACGUUCGGUUUAGGUUGCAGCACCAGGUGAAGCUCCUGCACGCGAACCCCACAGGGGUGCCGCAGUUUCUGCACAGAGAACUCCGGAGCGUUCCUGUAAGUUGCUCGUACUGUGCUGCUAUUCGGGCAGCGCUGCCCGGUUAUUUAUAUUUAGAUUUUAAACACUUACUGCUGUUGACAAGUUGGUUUAAGGGACAAAACUUUAAGUGUUAAAGCCACCUCAACAAUUGAUUGGACUUUUUCGUUUAAUUUCUUCCCCAUAAACCACAUUUUUUAUAUUUCUACCAGAAAAGUAAAAAUCUUUUUUAAAAGUAUUGUUUUCUAAUUUGUAACUCCCAGGGGUUAUUUUUGUGCCAGACACAUUCCGCGUUUUCAGUAUUGCAGGACAGAAUAGAAAUGUAUUAAUGAAAACAAAUGGCUGUACAUAUUUUUCUUCCUUCAGAGUACUCUGUACAAUAAAUGCUGUUUAUAAAAGUGUUAGAUGUUAUAAAUGAAACCUUGUAAGAUUCAUGUGAUCAUACUGUUUAAAAAAGUUGUAUUUUAGAUAUAAUGCCUGAAAC
RNAcentral lists this long non-coding RNA (1569 nucleotides) under Sus scrofa (pig). RNAcentral's name for it is "lncRNA (ENSSSCG00000048769.3)". The record is from RNAcentral. Lineage: Eukaryota; Metazoa; Chordata; Mammalia; Artiodactyla; Suidae.